This 622-nucleotide long non-coding RNA is filed under the name Homo sapiens (human). RNAcentral describes it as "HSALNT0153993". The record is from RNAcentral. Lineage: Eukaryota; Metazoa; Chordata; Mammalia; Primates; Hominidae.
GCCGCGCGGGCCUGGCGCACGGGGAUUCGGCCGCACAGACGGCGGCGGCGGCAGCGGCAGCGGCUCCGCAGAGGCGCGAGGCUGCGGGAGCGCCCGAGUCGCGAGCUCGCGGGGGCAGCGAAGGGCGACGCUCGCGACGCGGAGGACGCAGGCGGCGGCGGCGGGCGGGCCUCGGGGCACAGCGCGGUCCGCGCCGAGUGAACGGAGGCGGCUCGCGGCCCCUGCCGCACCGCGAGCCGCGAGCCCCCCGGCCGCGCCCUGCCCCCCCAGCCCCUCCCUCGUUCCCUCCCCGGCGCAACAUGGCUGCGGCCGCCGCCUCCGCCUCCCAGGAUGAGCUGAAUUCUUUAUACAAUUGCAUAUGUACGAGUGGAUGAACGUACCAUUGGUGAUCCCGAGGAUUUUUGUCAAGAUUGGAUAAACCAUGUAUCACAUUGAUUGUAGAGAUCAGCUUGAACGGGUCUUUUUACGACUUGGCCAUGCUGAAACAGAUGAACAAUUACAGAAUAUUAUAUCUAAAUUCCUUCCUCCUGUUUUGCUCAAACUCUCUAGCACCCAAGAAGGAGUACGUAAAAAGGUAAUGGAACUGCUGGUCCAUCUGAAUAAACGUAUAAAAAGCCGCCCC